RNAcentral lists this ribosomal RNA (301 nucleotides) under uncultured bacterium. RNAcentral's name for it is "partial 16S ribosomal RNA". It matches the Rfam family "Bacterial small subunit ribosomal RNA", at positions 509 to 807 of the family's 1533-position model. The record is from RNAcentral.
CAGUCGCCGCGGUAAUGCGUAGGUGGCAAGCGUUGUCCGGAAUUAUUGGGCGUAAAGGGCUCGCAGGCGGUUUCUUAAGUCUGAUGUGAAUGCCCCCGGCUCAACCGGGGAGGGUCAUUGGAAACUGGGAAACUUGAGUGCAGAAGAGGAGAGUGGAAUUCCACGUGUAGCGGUGAAAUGCGUAGAGAUGUGGAGGAACACCAGUGGCGAAGGCGACUCUCUGGUCUGUAACUGACGCUGAGGAGCGAAAGCGUGGGGAGCGAACAGGAUUAGAUACCCCAGUAGUCCCUGUCUCUUAUAC